GGUUGUAGCUCAGUGGUAAAGCACUUGACUAACAUGUGUGAGGCACUGGGUUCAAUCCUCAGCACCA
This 67-nucleotide transfer RNA is filed under the name Marmota monax (woodchuck). Its description in RNAcentral is "tRNA.Val". The record is from RNAcentral. Lineage: Eukaryota; Metazoa; Chordata; Mammalia; Rodentia; Sciuridae.